GAUGAAGAACGUAGCGAAAUGCGAUAAGUAAUGUGAAUUGCAGAAUUCAGUGAAUCAUCGAAUCUUUGAACGCACCUUGCGCCCUUUGGCCAUUCCGAAGGGCAUGCCUGUUUGAGUAUCAUGAACACCUCAACUCUUCAUGGUUUUCCAUGAUGAGCUUGGACUUUGGGGGUCUUGCUGGCCUGUGGGUCGGCUCCUCUCAAAUGAAUCAGCUUGCCGGUUUUUGGUGGGCAUCACAGGUGUGAUAACUAUCUACGCUUGUGGUUUUCCACCAGGGUAACCUUCAGCAGUGGAGGUUCACUGGAGCUUACAAAUGUCUCUCCUCUGUGAGGACAGCCCUUUGAAUGUUUGAUCUCAAAUCAGGUAGGACUACCCGCUGAACUUAAGCAUAUCAAAAGCGGAGGA
Molecule: unclassified non-coding RNA, 405 nt
Filed under: soil metagenome
Description: partial contains 5.8S ribosomal RNA, internal transcribed spacer 2, and large subunit ribosomal RNA
Rfam family: 5.8S ribosomal RNA (bases 1-121)
Source: RNAcentral